Epinephelus moara (kelp grouper) is the source of this 507-nucleotide long non-coding RNA. RefSeq lists it as uncharacterized. The transcript has 3 exons. The record is from RefSeq and is a predicted model, not a curated record. NCBI's taxonomy places the organism in Eukaryota, Metazoa, Chordata, Actinopteri, Perciformes, Serranidae.
AAGGAGGCUGUCCCCCUCAGUCUGACAUUAGUCUCCUCUGGGACCAAGCUGGUGACACUGACCUGAUCUCUUUUCACCUGGUGAACCUGAACUCUGAGCUUCAGCUAUGGGUCGUCUGGAUUGCGUCUGUGAAGCCCUUGGAAAAAUGUUUGAUGAGCACGCUGUUGGCGGCAAGUUGACCAGGGAUCAGCUGAAGCAGCUGUUUGAGAAGGAAUCUGACAUGAAACAGGCAAAAAUGGAGUCAGGUUGCUGUGAGAAGAUGAAGGAAUGGAUGGACAAGAACUGCAAAGACCCGAUGGAUUUCAAUGACUUCUGUAGUUGUGUGUGUAUGGUGGCCUCCAACAAAUACAGCAAAGGCCAACAAGGUGGCAGCUGUGGACAAGCCUGCAAAUAAAACCUUUAAAGGAUUGCCAUCAAAACUGAAAUGUGCAAAUGUGAUAUGUGACACUACUGCCAAUUCCAUCUAAUUUGACUUUACACUUUCCAAAUAGUGUCCAUUCAAUACUU